Molecule: ribosomal RNA, 464 nt
Filed under: uncultured Klebsiella sp.
Lineage: Bacteria; Pseudomonadati; Pseudomonadota; Gammaproteobacteria; Enterobacterales; Enterobacteriaceae
Description: bacterial SSU rRNA
Rfam family: Bacterial small subunit ribosomal RNA
Source: RNAcentral
CCUACGGGAGGCUGCAGUGGGGAAUAUUGCACAAUGGGCGCAAGCCUGAUGCAGCCAUGCCGCGUGUGUGAAGAAGGCCUUCGGGUUGUAGAGCACUUUCAGCGGGGAGGAAGGCGGUGAGGUUAAUAACCUCAUCGAUUGACGUUACCCGCAGAAGAAGCACCGGCUAACUCCGUGCCAGCAGCCGCGGUAAUACGGAGGGUGCAAGCGUUAAUCGGAAUUACUGGGCGUAAAGCGCACGCAGGCGGUCUGUCAAGUCGGAUGUGAAAUCCCCGGGCUCAACCUGGGAACUGCAUUCGAAACUGGCAGGCUAGAGUCUUGUAGAGGGGGGUAGAAUUCCAGGGGUAGCGGGGAAAUGCGUAGAGAUCUGGAGGAAUACCGGUGGCGAAGGCGGCCCCCUGGACAAAGACUGACGCUCAGGUGCGAAAGCGUGGGGAGCAAACAGGAUUAGAACCCUAGUAGUC